CCCUUAGAUGUUCUGGGCCGCACGCGCGCUACACUGACGAAUGCAACGAGCUUAUAACCUUGGCCGAAAGGUCUGGGUAAUCUCCAAAUUUCGUCGUGAUGGGGAUAGAUUAUUGCAAUUAUUAAUCUUCAACGAGGAAUGCCUAGUAAGCGCAAGUCAUCAGCUUGCGUUGAUUACGUCCCUGCCCUUUGUACACACCGCCCGUCGCUCCUACCGAUUGAAUGGUCCGGUGAAGCGUUCGGACCGUGGCCUUUGGACGGUCCGCCGUCUGUUGGCUGCGGGAAGUUCGUUAAACCUUAUCAUUUAGAGGAAGGAGAAGUCGUAACA
This 327-nucleotide ribosomal RNA is filed under the name uncultured eukaryote. RNAcentral's name for it is "partial 18S ribosomal RNA". It matches the Rfam family "Eukaryotic small subunit ribosomal RNA", at positions 1470 to 1796 of the family's 1831-position model. The record is from RNAcentral.